UACAGAGGGGGCAAGCGUUGUUCGGAAUUACUGGGCGUAAAGGGCGCGUAGGCGGCCUGCUAAGUCGAACGUGAAAUCCCCGGGCUCAACCCGGGAACUGCGUCCGAUACUGGUAGGCUUGAAUUCGGGAGAGGGAUGCAGAAUUCCAGGUGUAGCGGUGAAAUGCGUAGAUAUCUGGAGGAAUACCGGUGGCGAAGGCGGCACCCUGGACCGACAUUGACGCUGAACGGCGAAAGCUAGGGGAGCAAACGGG
This 253-nucleotide ribosomal RNA is filed under the name uncultured bacterium. Its description in RNAcentral is "partial 16S ribosomal RNA". It matches the Rfam family "Bacterial small subunit ribosomal RNA", at positions 524 to 776 of the family's 1533-position model. The record is from RNAcentral.